AUAGUACUUGUUUAUUUCACCCUCUAGUCUAUUCCAACUCCUUCGGUAUCUUUUAACCCGUACGAGUCUUUUUCACCCCCGAAUCUAUUUCAACUCCUUGGGUAUCUUUCAACCCAUACAAGUAUAUUUCACCCUUACAUCUAAGCAUACAAUCAUAUCGGUAAGAGUCAAAAAAGACAACAAGCACAUACUAACAUAUCAACAAGUGUCAUGAGGACAACUAUCAUUCAACAAACAUAAUCCAGUUGGCCGACAUUGGUGCAUUUGACCCCCGAGUACAGUGAAGAGACUCACCUCUCAGUUGAUACUCAUAUGCCUCUACUCUCACUGCCAGAAAUACCAAUGCUACACACCACCUGUACCAUUACAAAUGGUAACCAUCGGCUCUUCUUCCAAGACUAUGAGUUUGACCAAAGUCAACUCAAGUCAGAAGUCGACGGUCAACAUUGAAUUUAGUUAACCGUCAUGCCAUGGCCAUCAAUGGCCACGUCGUGGCCUUCAUACAUCGAAACAACGACUUUUUCCUAGUCACCACUUCGUGGUGACCUAAGGCCACGUUGUGGGCACUGAGUUUCAAACAACUUAAUGGGUUAAGCCGUUUUCCUCUAUUCCAAGAGCUCUAAAGCUCAUAUAUUGUCUGAAAUAUGGUCUAGAAUGAUAAAGUUUCCAACUUUAUCAACUAGAACCACCUCAAAAGUCAAAAAUCUCAAACCCUAGUCCAAUAAGGCUAAAUUCAACAAUGUCAUAACCAUUAAGCCGUUAAUCCAAAAAGGUCCCUAACCCAACCACUCUAGAAGGGUUUCCAAUACCAAAUCUGACAUAAAGGUAGGUGCUUUAUAGACAUGCAUGUCCAAUGCAUGCCUUGAAGCCAUAAUUGGUCCAAAAUAUGGGUUUUUGAUAAAAAUCCCAUGCAUGGCUAAAAAACUCUAUUAUACUUCACAUCCAAACCCACAACCAUACCAAAUGCUCCAAAGAUUCAUAAAGUUGUAACCUUUAUGAAGUCUCACCAUUCCAACUAUCAAGAACAAGAAGAUUAUGGGCUAAAAUUUAAGAUCUAGAAAUCUAGCAUGAGAAAAAUCGAGUCUUGGACACUUAAAAAGGUCGAGAAGAGUGCUAGGAUGAAGAAUGGAGACUUGCUUACUAGAUCUUCACUUCCUUUUUCUUCUUUGUCUCUUUAAAUAUUCCAAGAGCACCAAAAUGGCUUCAAUAAUUNNNNGAUUGGCUUUUCUUUAUAAUUAAGGAGGAUGAUAGGGGCUAAGGGUAAGAAAACCCUAGCCUCUACAUUCCUUUAAAUAGGGGUCCAACCCAGAAAUCUAGGGUUUCAUUAAAAUCACCUGCCUCACUGUGGAGAGUCAUUAAACCUUACGACCAUGAAAACAAUCGCAAUGUCGUGGUGAAGAUCCACCAUGCCAUGGCCAUUCAAGAAUGAAAUUCAACAUUAACAUCUUAGCUCAUACCUGAAAUGGGUGUUACAAAUCUCCCCCACUUGAAUCAGAGUUCGUCCUCGAAGUUCGUUGUCGUAAAUAGCUUGGGGUAGUGCUCCCUCGUCUCAUCCUCGGGAUCCCAAGUCUACUGGGAACCCUUCCGGUGCUACCAAUGCACCUUCACCGGUCCUAGUACCUUCUUGUGCAAGGUCUUGGUCUCUCUGUCAAGAAUCGCCCCUGGUCUUUCCACGUAGUUCAGGUGCUUAUCCACCUGAAUAUCAUCCAAUGGUUUCAUUAUGAAGGUGUCGGCCAGGCACUUUCACGGCUGAGAGACAUGAAACGCGUUGUGAAUCUGGCUAAGUUCCUCAGGCAUAUCCAAAUGAUAUGCAACCUUUCCCACCGGGCAAUAACCAUGAAAGGACCAAUAUAUUUAGGGCCCAACUUACCCCGCUUCCUGAACCGAAUAACACCUUUCCAAGGUGACACCUUCAGGAGUACCAUAUUCCCAACCCGAAACUCCAAAUAUGAUCAACGCCUAUCAGCUAUGCACAGUUUGAAGCCUGCCGUGUACUUGCUAAAUUACCUCCAUAGUCUUGAGUACCCCCUCCGUACUCCCCAUGAAUCGCUGACCUUCCUCUCCCUAACAAAUCGGUGUCCAACACUUUCUCUCGUAAAGCAUCUUAAAGGGAGGCUGAUCAAUGUUGGCGUGGCAGUUGCUAUUGUAUGAGAACUCAGCCAACAGAAGAUUCGUAUUCCUGCUCCUUCCAAAAUAUGGCACGCACGCCCGAAACAUAUCCUCCAACAUAUGGAUAGUUUGCGCACUAUGUCCAUCAGUCUGCAGGUGAAAAGUCAUGCUAGAGUGCAGAUGAGUACCCAAAUCCUCAUGAAAUCUCAUCUAGAAUUUGGAAAUGAAACACACAUCUCGGUCCAAAACCAUUGAUACCGAGACUCCGUGACGUGCAACUACCUCACAAAUAUAGAUGUCUGCUAACUUCUCUGUCGAGAUUCUCUCCUGGAUAGGGAUAAAAUGUGUGCUCUUGGUCAAUCGAUCCACGAUGUCCCAAAUUGAAUCCACCCCUCGUGUUUUCUGAGGUAACUUUGUGAUGAAAUCCAUCAUGAUCUCUUCAUAUUUUCAUCUUCCAAACGGGAAUACCCAACCGAUCCAUUUUCCGUGGGUCCGUUGAUGCUCGGCCUUGACUUUCCUGUAAGUCAAGCACCUCUCUACAUACCAUGCCACAUCCCGCUUCACGCAGGGCCACCAAUAAUUUAUUCUGAGAUCUAUGUACAUCUUUGUCACACCUGGAUGGAGUGAAAACCUAGACUUAUGUCCCUCCUCCAUCAAUACAUUUCGUACACCGCCACAAUAUGGAACAUAAUCCUUCCGAUGUAAGGUCGUCAAUCCCCUGCUGUCAUAGUCAAAAAAGGACACCUUCCCCAUAAUGCGCUCACUCUUGCAGUGCUUCUCUUUCAUGUCUUUACCUUGAGCCCGCAAAUCUACUCCAAGACUAGGGUAAGCAUUGUCAUCCUCAAACACAAAUCUUAGAUAGGAGUACUAGCCGCCUUGCGGCUAACGACAUCGUCCACCACAUUGGGCUUCCCGGGAUGUUAAAGAAUCUCACAAACAUAAUCCUUCACCACGUCAAGAUACUAGCUCUGCUUGUUGGGUCAAAAUAUGGUUUAUACUUUGCUUUUCUGGGCAAUUAUAUUUUUAUGUAAUAUUUUAUGAGCUUUCAGUCUAGUUUACGGUCAGGUGGGGUUUACGGUUGAGUUUACGGCCGUAAACCCAUUUAAGGCCUAUGUCCACCAAGCCCAUGUCCCCCUUGUAUAAAUAUAGGUGUUAGGGUGUGAGGAACGGAUUGAUGAACAAGAGAAGAGAGAAACUAGAGAGCAUUUUGUGUGUGUGAAUCUUGUGUAAAGGAACUUUAUUCUAAUCAAUUCAUACAGAGAUUCAUAUUAUUAUUCUUCUUCUUCUCUUCUAUUUGAUCUGACAUCAUCCGUUUGUUUAGGAUUCUGCGCCAUCAAACAGAUCUGAUUGAUACACGGGCAAAUUUGGGACUUACAAUUGGUAUCAGAGCUUGGUUGUAUCAGUCAUUUUUGUUAGAUUUUGAGCAUUAUUUGAUCUUAUUUUCAAAAUAUUCUUGCGUUUUUGGAUAGAUCUGAAACAUAAGGGGGGUUUGUUCUUCGUGUUUUCAUAAAAAAGCGUUUUUGAUCGAGUUUUGGAGCUUCAAAGUCGAAAAAUCGGUGUUUUUGGUCGUAAUCAACGAGGGGGUGGCGGCCAGCAUCUAGGGUUUCCGAAGUGUUUGUGGCCGGUGUUUGCGGUCCGAGGAGUUCACGGCCUCGGUUUGCGGCCUCAGAGUUUACGGCCGGUCCGAGGUUGCGGUCAGCAGCGUGUCCGAAGUUCGCGGCCAGAAGGAGUCCUNGGACACAUCCGAGGAGUUCACGGCCUCGGUUUGCGGCCUCAGAGUUUACGGCCGGUCCGAGGUUGCGGUCAGCAGCGUGUCCGAAGUUCGCGGCCAGAAGGAGUCCUCGCAACUGCGGCCUCGCUUUGCAUUUAAAAAAAUAGGACGCGACUUUGGAGGUGCUGUGGAUCGAACCCGCGACCUCCAGCUCACAUUCCUUCAGCGCCUUACCAACUCCUCUAGGCCACAAGUUGAUACAUUCAUUCCCCAUUUAAUUCAUAACCCGUCUUUUUCGCUUCAAGUUUCGCAUUUUUUACACUUUCAGCCCAAAAUUCAAUUCCUUUUAAUUUUAAAUUCUUUUUUCAUCCAAAAUAAAAAUAAUAAUAAUAAAAAUAAUAAUAAUAAAUAAAUAAAUAAUAAAUUAAAAUAAAAUUAAUAAAUAAAAUUAUAUUUUAAUUUUUUACUUUUAUUUUUUGACUUUUGACCUUAAAUUUUGACUUUGACUUCCAAGUUUGACCUUUGACUUUAAACUUUAACUUUUUCGUUUAACUUUUAAAUUUUCAAACUUAACUUUUCGGUUUGACUUUUAAGUUUGACUUUUAAGUUUGACUUUUAAGUUUGACUUUUGAGUUUAACUUUUUAAAUUUGACAUUUAAGGUUGACUUUUAUAAUCAAAGGGUUUGACUUUUAACUUUGAUUUUGGCUUCUAGUUGUGCUUUUUAAUUGAUUUUAAGGUCUACAAGGGAGUUGAAACAUGAAAGAGAGUCGUCAGGAUAUGUUAAGACAAAAUUUCAACAUUUUUUAUUAUAUCCCUGGAGAAACCCUCGAAACUUAGUUGCAGCGAUUUACUGCACUUACUACCAAGAUGAAUAUAGCUGGGAUCUUCUUGUCUAAGUUUGAGAUAAACAAAAAGCUACUGAAUUCACUUCCGAAAUCGUGGGAUAUGAACGUGGCUAUCAUCAAGAAGACAAAAGAUCUCAGUCAUCUUAGUCUUGCUGAUGUAAUUAUAGAACUUGAUGCUUUGAAGUGUAGAAAAACAAUGAUUUCUGAAAACAUUCUGGUCAUUGAAGUUACAUGUACUUCAGCUUGUGAAAUUACGAUUAAAUUUCUUCGGGAACAAAUUGAUUUAUUAAAAAGAGAAGUUGAGGACCUGAGAUAUGAUGGAUAUCAACUCAGGAAAGGACAGAAACCCCUGAAGGCUGAAUUAGAAGCAGAAACCAAGGACUUUAGGAAACUUCAGGAAGAGUAUAGCAACAAGUGUGAAAAUUAUGACUAUAUUAAGAGACAACUUGCUGCUUUAACUGAAGAACUUGACACUUUGAAAAUUAAGUGUGGAAAAACAGACGUUAGUUUCAAAAAUUAUACUGCAUCAAGUCAGACAGUCGAGUCCUUAUUUGAAACCCAAUUAAAAUUUAAAGAUAAUCAAAACAAGAGUCUAGGGUAUGAUAGUGUUCCUCCACCUUUCAAUAAUAACUGCACAUCCAUCCCUAUGACACAUGAAGAAAAUGACAGGGAGGCACAUCUUCAAUAUGGAAAACCAUGUAGAUUUGUGUCAAGAGGUAUUCAAGUUGAAAAUACUAAUGCUUCUACUUUAUGUGUAGGUAAAGUAGCAAAAGAUGAGAACAAGGAGAAAAGCAUUGAGCAAUCCAACAUCUCCUUGAACUCAGAAUUUGUUGCUUCGAAUUCUGUUAUUCCUAACAAACCUGCCGUUGAGAAAUACAAGCCACCAAUUCCAGUGAAACAGAGUGCCUGUUGCAAGUGUACAUGUGGGAACAAUAAGAGUCAAGGCAAGGAUACGCCACCAGGGUCAGGAAGAAACAACUUCCUAGUGACGAAAAAGACUUGUCUUCACUGUGGAACAUCUAGACACAUUGCUAAAAAUUGUCCUAAUCGUGCAUAUGUUCCCUACUAUGCACGAGGCUGGCAGAACACGCCAAGAGGGAGAUUUUUCAAAAGAAACCCCUCAAGGUCACGUUCAGACCAUGAUGACUGGAAUGCGCAGAAGGCCAAGAAUUCGAAUCCCAAGGGCAAGAAGGGAAUGUUGGCCUAAAAGUCUAGUUCAAGAGAUGCUCUUGUGAAGCCAAGACUGGUUAGGUCAAAGUCAUCUCGGCAGUUGGCUUCAAGUUCCAAAUCAAGUACUGAUCCACCCAUCAGAUCGAAAAAGAAAUGGGUUAAACCCAACUACAAAUGGGUUCUGAAGGCUCAAUCUCCCAAAUCUUCUAAUGAUUCUAAUAUUUCUAUAUCUUCUGUUUGUGAUAAAUAGGACAUGUCAUGGGAGAAAGUACCUUGCGUUGAUGACAAAGGUCGACCCAGUUUCAAAAUGGACUGGGUUCCAAAGACCAACUGAUCCCGCUCUGUGCUGGAGCAGCUGUGGAGGCAUAUCAUCAGACUUCGAUUUGUUGGUAGUGGCUGCUCCUGGCAUAUGAUUGGGGACAUCUCUCAAUUGUACAACACUCAGAGCUUUGUUGAGAGUAUGUGUCCUUUUGCGGGAAAGGAAGAAAGGAAGAGAUCACAAAUGGGGUUAGUGCUUAAUGAUAUGAAGAAUUUUCGGAUCUGUUCUGAGAUUAUGCUUGUUGUUCUCAGACCUUCUGAAUGUAGAUUCAAUCUGUUCUGAGAUUAUGCUUUUUGUUUUUGGAUAGUUUAAAUUUGCGCAUUUACUUUCGUUUCUCUCCUAUGCAUAAAUUUAGGGGGAGAAAUAAAAACAAAACAAAAAUUAAAGAAAAAAUAAUUAAAAAAAAAAGAAUCCAAAAACAUUAGAAAAUCAGAAAAUAAAAAAAAUAUGGUGUUAAUGGAAUGUGCUUGCAGGAGAUGUUUUGGGAAGUGAUAUAAUCAUGUGAUAACAGGCAAUCUGAAUCUGUGUAAGGGACUGAAUCUGAAUUAUCUAGGCUCUAUGUUCGAUGCGCUGGUGAGCACGAAAGAUUUUAAAUGGACUUGACUACGAAGAUUUGAACUUAUUGAAUUUAAGGACUUGACAAACUUUGACCUAGUUAGAUUCGUUUAGCCUGACAUCACGACGCUCGGAUAGGUUGAGCAGGGAGAUAUACAUGGGAAUCUACUGGUCACAUUAAAUAGCCCGUAUCUAGAACUGUGGAUUCACUUUUCCUCGAUGUGCGGAUUCUGUCCUUAAUUUCGGUUGGAUGGGGCGACUGGUAAAAUUCCGAUAAAUUAGGUCUGUAGAAAAUCGUUUUCUUUCUGUCUGUUAGUCAUAUGUUACCUCAUCUGCAUGAUCGGGAGAUCCGACCUAGACUGUUACAUAUGCAACUAUAUUUCUCUGCAUGGUAUAUAUAUAUGAAAUUCCUCUUAUCUAUUAGCCAUAUGUUGUCUCCUUUGCAUGACUUCCAAUCCGACCUGGAACACAGCAUAUGCAACCUUCUACUUCUCAAUCCCUCUAAAACUUUAAGUAAUAGCAAUCUGAAUCUGCUCUCUCUCUGAAUGAUUGUCUACUCACCCGGUGUAAGGAGUACUCUGGAAGUUCUUGAUGGCUGGGGCAUAUCAGGAAGCGGGAAACAUGUUCUAGGAUACUUAAAUUGAACACAUACAGAUUGUUUGUAGAUCUCGCUGGUCGAUUUAGGUGGACAAUAAUAUCCCUGGUUGUAGUCAGUUAAAUGGUCUUAAGAAAAAUUUAUUUAAGAAUUUGAGCCAAUCAUGAUAAUAAAGUUACAAUUAAGAUAUAUGCAUCAUGUCAUUGGUAAAUUGUCCAAAAUUGUCACAAAUUUCUCGUAUUUAAGUGGAUCACAAUACUGGCGAUCGAUCAGAUGAAGAUGUGAAGAUAAGGGUACCGACAAGUGGAAUAAGGUUGUCUAAAAACUUUGAUCCCAAAUUACUCUUAAAGUUAGCUAUUAUUUUUGUUUUUGUUAAGUUUGUUCGUAGUGUUCUUCUAAUUUAAAUAUUAGGGGAGAAUUAAAAUUUAAAAAAAAAAAUCAAACAAAAAUCAAAAAAAUUCAAAAUAAAAAAUAGUGUUAUAUCUGUUUUACUUUUUGUUCUAAGUUUUCUUUUAGUUUUGUUUUGUCUUGAAAAGUGAUUUCAGGUGAAGAUGAAACUCAUGGAGACUGUAUUGAAGAUUUCUAAGCCAAGGCUUCAUCCGUGAGCAUCGAAGACUUCUCAUUCGAAGGAGAAAGAAAUGAAGAUUAUUCUUUCAACAUUCAAUCUUUCAACCCCGGAAGCAAGGUGAAGCUGAAAUUGAAGAUUAUGUGAUGGAUUGCAUAGAAGUCUCCUCAAUCAGUCUGCUGCUAUCUUAAACCUGCUAAAGCGAUCCAGAAGAUUAUUUCUGAUGUUCUCUCUGAAGAUUCUCAAGCUGAAAGCGCCAUCUUUCAAGAAUCAGUACAAGAAGCCUCCUCACCCAAUGUGCGUUCAGAGUCAAAUCUUGAAGAAAAGCUCAAGUGCUCAAGAUGAAGUGAUUCAUUGAAGAUUCAUCAAGUAUAUCUUGAAGUUGUGAAGAAAUCGAAGAUAAAUGCUGAAGCCAAUCUCCCAAUGAAGAUUAACAAGAAGAGCUAGCUACUUUUUAGGGGGGGCUUGUUGGGUCAAUUAAGAAAAGAAAGCUAUAAACCAAGAGUGAGAUUGUUGGGUCAAAAUAUGGUUUAUACUUUGCUUUUCUAGGAAAUUAUAUUUUUAUGUAAUAUUUUAUGAGCUUUCAGUCUAGUUUACGAUCAGGUGGGGUUUACGGUUGAGUUUACGGUCGUAAACCCAUUUACGGCCCACGUCCACCAAGCCCAUGUUCCCCUUGUAUAAAUAUAGGUGUUAGGGUGUGAGGAACGGAUUGAUGAACAAGAGAAGAAAGAAACUAGAGAGCAUUUUAUGUGUGUGAAUCUUGUGUAAAUGAACUUCAUUCUAAUCAAUUCAUACAGAGAUUCAUAUUAUUCUUCUUCUUCUUCUCUUCUAUUUGAUCUGACAUCAUUCGUUUGAUUGGGAUUCCGCACCAUCAAACGGAUCCGAUUGAUACACGGGAAAAUUAGGGACUUACAUUGCUUCAUGUUCAGAUUUGGCUGAUGCAUGAGACAUCUCAAACUCUUAUGGUCCGUGUAAAUAAUACAAAAAAACCCAUACAAAUAGUGACGCCAAAUAUUUAGGGGAAAAACCAUAGCCCCAACUCGAAAUCAUGAGUAGGAUAAUUCGCCUCAUGAGGCUUCAGCUACCUCAAAGCAUAAGCAAUCACAUGGACCCUCUACAUAAGCACUGCACCUAACCCAAUGAUCGAAGCAUCACAAUAAACCACGAAAUCCUCCAUGACCUCGGGUAGGGCCAGAAUCGGAACCUCACACAACUUUUGUCUCAAAGUAUCAAGUAUCGCAUGUUGGUCAGGCUCCCAACAAAAAGUGACAGUCUUCUUCGUCAGCUUGGUCAACAGAACUGUGAUCCCGGAGAAGUUCUCGAUGAACCUCCGAUAAUACCCUAUUAACCCAAUGAAACUCCAAAUUUUAGAUGAAAACCUUGAAACCUCCCACUACAUCACGGCCUCGAUCUUGGCCGUAUCAACCAAUAUCUCCUUCUGAUUGACAAGGUACCCCAGAAAUUGCACCUCACGCAACUAGAAUUCGCACUUGGAGAAAUUGGCAUAAAACCUCUCCCUCCUUAGAGUUUCUAGAAUUUCUCUCAGAUGAUCCUCAUGCUUCUCCUUGGUCUUAGAAUAGACCAUAAUAUCGUCAAUAACUACAAUGACAGAUCGAUCCAACAUCUGUCUACACAUGCGGUUCAUGAGAUCCAUGAACGCGGCCGGAGCUUUAGUGAGCCUUAAAUUCAUCACCAUGAACUCAUAAUGACCAUAAUGAGUCCUGAAAGUAGUCUUCCGCAUGUCCUCCUCUCUGACCCUCAUAUGAUGAUAUCCCUGCUGUAUAUCAAUCUUGGACAACCAAUAUGUGAUUUGAAGCUAAUAGAACAAAUCAUCAUUCCUCGGGAGUAGGUAACGGUUCUUCACCGUUAAAUUGUUCAACUCCCGAUAGUCGAUGUACAUCCUAUGGUGUAACGCCCGUAGAUCCGGGCUAGUCAUUCUAGAGACAAUAAGCGUCGAAAAUGACUUUUUGAUAGAAGAGUGUUUAGAAUAGAUAAUCUUAACCAAGUUGUAGUAAAUUUCACAAGGUUUACGUACAUAUAAAGAACACUGAAAUCCGAGUUAUAACGAAUAAUUUAUGACUUGUCAAAGUUUCGCGACAGAUUUGGCACGACGCUGUAGGACGUAAAUAGUGAAUUUACGAUAGAGCGAUAUUUAGCCUUAGUGAUCUAAACAAAAGUCGUAGAAUACGUUAAACCGAGAGCAUGCAUAAAAAGAACGUCCAACUCUAACUUCGUAUGAGGAAGUUAUGAUUUUUCUAUGUUUCAGCUUAGCGGUAUACAACCCAAAGUUCGAAUAUGAGAUCGAGUGGUUUCUAUCUGAAACAAUCUAAACGAGAAUCGAAGAUCUCAUUGAUAGUAGUGCAACGGAAGAAAGACAGAUGAAAACGGACGUCAGAUGAAGAAGUUAUAAAUUUCUAACGGAGUUUUCCUGUCUCGGCUUACUAAAAAUAAUAUAACAAAAAAAAAAGUCAAAAAUAGCCGACGGAGUCUAAAAGAGAGUUGUAGAUCAUAGUCUCACCUACGCGUGGAUAUAAAGCACGUCGGAAACGGAGAUUGUAUGCGAAAGUUAUGAAUUUCUGAAGUUCGAGGCACGCAUCCCAAAGAAGGAACGGCUCGCGUUCAAUUGGGGAACACCCUGCGUUUAAAACUUGGCUCCGGAGUGGCCACGUCGAUGCUGACUCAGUGGAUAAGGGAUAGGAUCGAAACCCCACUCCUACGCACCGCGUUCAAAGGGAACGCCCAGCGUUCGAGGAACACCCUGCGUUCGUGGCAGACUUCAGCACUAUAAAUAGAUCACAAGUGCAGCCGAGUUUGGUUGCCAAAUUUCUUCUCUCUCACCGAUAUUACCUCGAUUUACAUGCAAUAUAUACCCCUGAAACCCCGGUAUCAAUCCUGACACCCGAAGCCCCGAAGAUCCCGAGAAGUAAAGUUUUCGAGCCGAAACUCUGCCCGCGAGAGGCCCGGUUUCCAAGGAAGCAUCCCGGAUUCACUGAAGAAUACUACAUUUAGAGUCGUAGUGUUGUCUGAUCAUCGUAUUAUCAAGUGAUUGUGUAGUUACUUUCUUCUACCGCAUAGAUACGAAGUAUUUGCUAUGAAAUACGUGUUAUGUGUUUAUAUGUUGUUUGUUUUACUUGAGAUGGUUGUUGAAUGAAUGUUUUAUACAUGUUUUAAAUGAUUUAAACUAUAUAUGUAAUUUAUAUCUACAAAUAUGUUGGGUAGAACAUGGUAGAUGAAAUAGUUGGUGUACGAGGAAAGAUGAGUUUCAGGAUGAGACGAAAGAUGAUAUAGAUCAUGAGAUGAGGGUGACAGGUGAAAAAUGAGUGAAACCUUUACCCAAAUGAUGGCCCCCGUCAUUCAGCAGAGUAGUGAUGACAACCACGAACUAUUCUAGACAGUCCUGUGGAACACUAACAAGCUCGCAACUUGUAGGUGUUGUGGACUUGGUGUUCACCGGAGUACUCUAAAAACCCAUUGAUAUGUAUUGCUAGAGGAGUCUCGGAACCAAUACCGUCAAUAAAUGAGAUAAACCCCGGCGACUAUGGAGUUAGCGCUUAGUAACUACGGAUAUAGUGUCUGUUGAGAAAACCCUGACAACGAUGGGUUUCGUGUCGAUUACUUAGGAUAAUCCUUAAGAACAAAUGAACGAGGAAUAGUUGAUUCUUAGGAUAAUCUUUAAGAAAUAAAAAGGAGAUAAUGGGGUGGGUAAUUGGGUUGAUUGUGUGAUGAUUAAAUAUAAUAUAAUAUUUUAUUGUGGGUUGAAAACCGUAUAUGCUCACCAGGAUCCCAAGCCUGACCCACUCAAUUUUCUUUGUAUCACAAGUAUCAAUACGAAGACAUAUUUCACUAAGAGAUUAAAGGAUAUGUAAAUCAUUAGUGUAAAAUAAUGUAAGUUCUAUUUAUGCUUAUGUGUNUGAAAACCGUAUAUGCUCACUAGGAUCCCAAGCCUGACCCACUCAAUUUUCUUUGUAUCAAGGGUAUCGAUACGAAGACAUAUUUCACUAAGAGAUUAAAGGAUAUGUAAAUCAUUAGUGUAAAAUAAUGUAAUGAUUAAUCUAUCGAAACGUUGGGGAAAAAAAAAAGCGUAAAUCAUGAUUACGAUUGGUAAGUUAUUUUCUCGCAAUGUUGAACGUGUCCUAAGUUUCCUUCAAGUGGAAUGCAUGCACAUUAAAUAUUACAUAAAUAGAUUACAAAUAUCUAUAUCUAUUCAUUUACAUAGUCCGCCAAAAAUCAUAUUUUCAUAGGAAAUAUCAUAUUUUAUAAUAAAUUUAAUAUUUAUUAAACUGCAUAAACUUAAUCGAAUUCCAACUGAAAUUCUAAGACAGCAUCUAUGGCCGUAUUUGGAAUUAUUGAUCUUUACAAUUUAUUGUAACAAUAUUAGCAUUGGGCUUAGGUUAUAUCUUUUCUAGGCAUCUAGUGUACAUUAAAUUUGAAGUUAACGUUAGAAAGGUAUAAAUCAUAAAUUUACAAUUUUAAAUUGAGGUUAGAGACAAUAUGAUGCAGUUAAUAUAAUUCUAGUCGUCNUUUUUUGAGAGACAAAACAUUUGCAGUUUGCGGACCAUAUCUGCAAACAUUUGUUGUAGAAGAGGUGGACUAAACGUUUGUAGUCUGCAAGAAGAAGGUUGUUUGUUUUUUAACGUCUGCAGUCUAGUAAAAUAAACUAAAAUUUUAAUCAAAUUAUUUUUUAUACUUAAAAGACUUUUUCAACACAAAAAUUUUAAAUAAUUUUUUUUAUAACGCUAAAAUAUAAAUCAUAUAUAAAUCCUACAACCAAAAAAAAAUUUUAAAAAUUAUACAACAUUAAAACAUAAAUCUAACAUCUAAAAUCAAUUAUUUUCAAAUCAUACAAUAUUACAACACUGAAACAAAAAUCUAACCUCUAAAAUCUAUUAUUUUCAAAUUAUACAACAAUGAAAUAUGAAUCAAACCUCAAAUCUUUUUGACGUCACAUGGAAACAAAGUUGCAAUUCACGAAUCAUUCCUCACACUAGCUAGUGUUCUAAUUUCACUUAUUAUACAAAUGUUUAUAACUUAUAUACAUGUUACAAAAACAUUUCAUCAAAUAGUAACCUGAAUCCAUUAGUCAUUUGUGGUUAUAGAAUGUGAGCCUUCAUCAAAUAGCUUUCCUGCAUCCAUGAGUCACUAAUUAAUACCAAUGAACUACAAAAUAUAUGAAUUACAAGCAUUAAAACAUCAUAUAUGAAAUACUAUUCCAACAACAAUAAAGCCUAAUUUCACUUAAAACAUAAUUUCCAACGGCUAUAUACAUCUAAUUUCAAUUGAAAAUGUAAUUUUCAGCAACAAUAACAACUAAUUUAAACUAAAAUGUGAUUUCCAACAAAAAUAUAUACAUCAAAUUUCAACUAAAAUGUGAUUUCCAGCAAUAAUAACAACUAAUUUCAACAAAUCGAACAACAUUUUUCAUAUUUCAGNUAAUAACAAUUAAUUUAAGCUAAAAUGCGAUUUCCAACAAAAAUAUAUACAUCAAAUUUCAGCUAAAAUGUGAUUUCCAGCAAUAAUAACAACUAAUUUCAACAAAUCGAACAACAUUUUUCAUAUUUCAGCAAAGUAUAUACAUUUUCAGUAAAUAAAUAUGAUUUCCAUCACCUAUGAACAUCUAAUCUCAGCAAAUAAAUCCGAUUUUCAGUGAAUGUAUAUAUGAUUUUCAUGUUUCAGCAAACUAAUGUGAUUUCAGUAUCAAUAACAUCUGAUUUCUAGCAAGUACAACAAACCCUAGAAGAUACCAUUUGAUUUCAGGGAAAAUGUUCUUACCAAUGGCAAUAGAGGUCUGAGACGAUGAUGAUAGAGACACAGUGGGCAUGAUAGGUGGCGAUGGAGACGGUGGGCACGACUGGCGGCGGUGAACAGCAUGAACGAUUGCAGAGCAUAUGAGAAAUCCGGCGACAAUGAAGUGCGUAUGUGGUGCGGUCAGUCAUGAGGAAAAAGACGGUCCUAGUCUAAGCGUCGGCAACAUGAGGAGGAGGAGAGAGGUUGAAGAAGACCGAUGGAGAUAAGCAUCGAUGGAGGGGGAGGCGUAGAUGUCUGUAGGUUGUUGGAGGCACUGAGAAAAAAUAAAGCGUGUUUUUUUAGAUUAAACUGGGGUGCAGACCUUAGAAGACAUUGGUCCAUGUCUGCGCCCAGAAAACCUCGCGCAUACAUUUUUAAGUUUGUACACUUCUAAAAAACAAACAGUCUGCGAAGGUAUAUGUUUUCACGUCGUGUGCGCGGCGCAGACAGAAGUUGUCACGCAGAUCUGCAGAGAAAAAACAAACAACACCUUAGAAUUGUAAGGUUUCAUUCUAGCAAUUCUCUUCGGUUGUUGUUGGGAUGGUAAGUUUCACAGCUCAUCGGGGAAUUGCCCUUAGAAAAGAAAUCUUCGUUUAGCCAUCAUCUACGUCUAUCUUUUGUGUGUUUAGCGUGCUCGAAAUGACAAAGUUGUCAACAAAAUGUGUCUCUACUUCAAAAUUGGAGGAUAAUAUUAUCACUUUGGUGUUUAGUUGGGUAAACAUAGGAGGAAAUACGAGAACUGUAACUGGGCUAUUUGGUAUGAUUAUCCUUCAGUAUUUUGUAAUUGUUUUUGUACUUUUCUUUUUAUUGCCCAUCUCUCCUUUUAGCGGUGGCUUUUAAUAUGAUUCCGCUGUUUCAAAAAAAAAUACCAACGGUAAUUAUAACAAAUUAAUCUAACAAUCACCAAAAAUCCAUGUUAUUACUUUAAUUGCUCUAUGUAAUUUUAGAGAUGGUACAUCUCCUACCGUUGUCGUUGUUUACUAUAUAACCCUUGAUUUUGAGUUUUCCUGAUACUACAUUCACUUUUUUUGGGUUUAUCUCCAUCAUUAUUGCCUUUUUUUCUAUAAUGUUGCCCCUAUUGACAACUUCAUCGAUUGUCUAUUCUCUACCCUUCUUCGGUCGACUACAUCGCUACAUCAACUUACAUAUACUUUAUAACUGGUAUCAUUUUUAAAAGAAAUUUACAUAGUUUCUUUUAUGAGUAUAAGUUAUUAAUAUUUGAUAGGCCAUUAAUAAUUCAUUAAUUUUACUGAGUAAUAACUUCAAUUGUAGAAUAGGUAAAAUAUGAUAUUAAGUCAUUAGUUUUCUUAUUUAUUUAUUUUUUUUUUUAUGUUUGAUUUUUAGUCUUAAAUUAUAAUUAUAUUUGUCUUGUAUUCUUAUUCUUCUUUAAUUCUUAUCAAGGAAGAGGCCACCAAAUUAAAGGAGGUAUUUGUUUGCUUUUCCUUUUAAAAGUGCUAGUCUCUUCAAUAACUAUUUUAAAGAUGUUUUUAAGAAUAGGAGAAGACAAUGUUCUUUCAAAAGCUCUUUAGCUAUUUCCUUGCCAUAAAGAAAGAAUGAAUUGAUCAUCCGAACCAAUUAGUUUGAUGACUUAUUUGGUAAGAAAGAAUUAGAUACUCUUUAAGAUGAAAUGUGAUACUUACCUAAUCAAACCAGAUGCAAGGUCAAUGAUUUUGCUUAAGGGUUAAGGCUCUCGGCAUAAAGGCUCUUAUUCCUUCAGUAUUGGACUUUGAGGCCGCUCAACCCGACUCGAUAGCCUUAAUUUUUUUUAUUCUUUAGUUUUGUAAAUGUAAUUAAACUAAACAUACAUGAGUUUAAAUACUGAAUUCUUCCAUAUUAAAACAUGAAUAUAUAAAAAUCGAUUUUUUAAAGAAUUAAAGAAUUAUGAUUUAUCAAAUACUAGGUAUAACAAGUGUACUACACGGUAGACAAAUCAAAAUAAUAUUUAAUAAUAGCAAAAAUAUAGUUGUCUUAUGAAAUUAAUAUUUUAUGUCUUCAUGAAUCUAUACUUGAGAGAAUAACAAUUUAUUUUAAAUGCAAAAUAUAAGACAAAUUGAAAGUACGGUGAUGUAUAAAUAUAAGUAUUGUAUUCUAAAAGUACAUUGGUAUAAUCAAAAUGGAUUUUGUUUAUUUUACGGAAAACAACCACACAAAUAUAUAAACAGAUACAUGCACAUGGAAUAAGAUUUUGUUCGAUCAAAAAGACGAAAAUUAUGACUUAUGAAACUACAUUGAAAGAUUAAGUCAAGGAAUAAAAAAAACUAAAGGAUUAAGUUAUUAAAAUGUUUUUUUUCCAAAAUAAAUAAAUAAAUAAACAUGAACCAUUCACGUUUAUAAUAGCAAUGAGCUUUCAAUGUACAUUGUUGCUUUAGGGUAUUUUGCAAAAUAACUUAUUUAUUUUACAAUGCUAUAUUUGAUAAUUUCUUUCUCAAAUAUCUAGAAAACUUUUGACAUGGUGAAAAAAAAUCAUCUUAUAAAGUACAAUGCUAUAAAAUGAUUACUUCUGGAAGUACAAUGUUAUAUUUGAUAGUACUUGUUUAUUUCACCCUCUAGUCUAUUCCAACUCCUUCGGUAUCUUUUAACCCGUACGGGUCUUUUUCACCCCCGAAUCUAUUUCAACUCCUUGGGUAUCUUUCAACCCAUACAAGUAUAUUUCACCCUUACAUCUUAGCAUACAAUCAUAUCGGUAAGAGUCAAAAAAGACAACAAGCACAUACUAACAUAUCAACAAGUGUCAUGAGGACAACUAUCAUUCUACAAACAUAAUCCAGUUGGCCGACAUUGGUGCAUUUGACCCCCGAGUACAGUGAAGAGACUCACCUCUCAGUUUAUACUCAUAUGCCUCUACUCUCACUGCCAGAAAUACCAAUGCUACACACCACCUGUACCAUUACAAAUGGUAACCAUCGGCUCUUCUUCCAAGACUAUGAGUUUGACCAAAAGUCAACUCAAGUCAGAAGUCGACGGUCAACAUUGAAUUUAGUUAACCGUCAUGCCAUGGCCAUCAAUGGCCACGUCGUGGCCUUCAUACAUCGAAACAACGGGCUUUUUCCUAGUCACCACUUUGUGGCGACCUAAGGCCACGUUGUGGGCACUGAGUUUCAAACAACUUAAUGGGUUAAGCCGUUUUCCUCUAUUCCAAGAGCUCUAAAGCUCAUAUAUUGUCUGAAAUAUGGUCUAGAAUGAUAAAGUUUCC
This 16847-nucleotide long non-coding RNA is filed under the name Lactuca sativa (garden lettuce). RNAcentral describes it as "long non-coding RNA (LSAT_LNC001756)". The record is from RNAcentral. Lineage: Eukaryota; Viridiplantae; Streptophyta; Magnoliopsida; Asterales; Asteraceae.